Molecule: signal recognition particle RNA, 95 nt
Filed under: bacterium
Lineage: Bacteria
Description: signal recognition particle sRNA small type
Rfam family: Bacterial small signal recognition particle RNA
About the family: The signal recognition particle (SRP) is a universally conserved ribonucleoprotein involved in the co-translational targeting of proteins to membranes. Archaeal SRP consists of a 7S RNA and homologues of the eukaryotic SRP19 and SRP54 proteins.
Source: RNAcentral
AGGGAAAUUCGAAGUGUCUUAUACCCGGGAACCAGGUCAGGCGCGGAAGCGAGCAGCCCGACUGGGGAUGCUGUAUGCCUUGGAAUCGCGGAGUU